RNAcentral lists this ribosomal RNA (444 nucleotides) under uncultured bacterium. RNAcentral's name for it is "bacterial SSU rRNA". It matches the Rfam family "Bacterial small subunit ribosomal RNA", at positions 335 to 771 of the family's 1533-position model. The record is from RNAcentral.
ACUCCUACGGGAGGCAGCAGUGGGGAAUAUUGGACAAUGGGCGAAAGCCUGAUCCAGCCAUGCCGCGUGUGUGAAGAAGGCCUUAGGGUUGUAAAGCACUUUAAGCGAGGAGGAAAUGUUCUAGGCUAAUACCCUUGAGCAGUGACGUUACUCGCAGAAUAAGCACCGGCUAACUCUGUGCCAGCAGCCGCGGUAAUACAGAGGGUGCAAGCGUUAAUCGGAAUUACUGGGCGUAAAGCGCGCGUAGGCGGUUACGUAAGUUGGAGGUGAAAUCCCCGAGCUCAACUUGGGAAUUGCCUUCAAAACUGCGUGGCUAGAGUGUGGGAGAGGAAGGUAGAAUUCCAGGUGUAGCGGUGAAAUGCGUAGAUAUCUGGAGGAAUACCGAUGGCGAAGGCAGCCUUCUGGCCUAACACUGACGCUGAGGUGCGAAAGCAUGGGGAGCAA